GUUUAAUCGUGAGUUACAAGAUUUGGUUCUUAAAUCCAAAAUUCUUUUAUUACUUGAAAAAAUCAUCUGCAAUUCCAAUUUCUCCAAAAGGAUUCGAGAACAGUGCGCUUUUGUUGUUGCAGCUUUGAUUCGAUUUAAUAAAGAUGUUUUCGUGGGUCAAUUUCUAAUAGGUCCCCUGAUUCAUGCUCUUGUAUCAAUGGCUUCCUGGAAAUCAAUGAAAGUACUCUGUACACUUAUCAGGCUAAUCAAGUCACCUCUGGCAGACGAGAUCGAGUCCAAUGAAGAAAUACCCAAAAUCAUUAGUUUCUUGGACCAUAAAGACCUGCAACUUCGAGUUCUAACAAUGGAUUGCAUUCUUGAAAUUGGGUAUUUUGGUCGCAAAGAGGCAGUAGAGGCUAUGCUCGAAGAAGGGUUGAUAAAGAAGCUUGUGGAGUUGCAAAGAUCAGUGCUUGGUGGUGAUUUGAUUGACAUGGGAAGGUUUGAUGAGAAAGAAACUAAUAAAACGGAAAC
RNAcentral lists this unclassified non-coding RNA (510 nucleotides) under Hevea brasiliensis (rubber tree). The record is from RNAcentral. Lineage: Eukaryota; Viridiplantae; Streptophyta; Magnoliopsida; Malpighiales; Euphorbiaceae.